AAGUCGUAACAAGGUUUCCGUAGGUGAACCUGCGGAAGGAUCAUUAUUGAAUAAACUUGGUGGGUUGUAGCUGGCUCUCCGGAGCAUGUGCACGCCUGUCAUCUUUAUCUAUCCACCUGUGCACUUUAUGUAGUCUUGUGUUGUGGAGGGUAACUCUUUGCUUGUGUAUACAAGUCAGAUGUGAGGUAUGCUGUGUGCGCGCGCAUGCAUGUGUGUGUGUUAUGGCUCUCCUCAAAUAUGCUCUCCCUGCUCAAGUCUAUGUGUUUUUAUACACACACUAUGUAGUAUGUCGCAGAAUGUAUCACAAUGGGCCUUAGUGCCUAUAAUAAACACAAUACAACUCUCAGCAACGGAUCUCUUGGCUCUCGCAUCGAUGAAGAACGCAGCGAAAUGCGAUAAGUAAUGUGAAUUGCAGAAUUCAGUGAAUCAUCGAAUCUUUGAACGCACCUUGCGCUCCUUGGUAUUCCUCGGAGUAUGCCUGUUUGAGUGUCAUUAAAUUCUCAACCCUUAUCUGGCUUAUGUGCUGGAUCUGUGGCUUGGAUAUGGGGGUUAUUUGCAGGCCCUACUUCUGAAGGGUCAGCUCCCCUGAAAUGCAUUAGCAGAACCAUUCACGAUCUGUCGCCGGUGUGAUAAUUAUCUACGCCAAAUGACGAACGUGAUAUUGACUGUUCAGCUUCUAAUGGUCCUUUCGGGGACAAUACAACUGAAUGAUUGACCUCAAAUCAGGUAGGACUACCCGCUGAACUUAA
Molecule: ribosomal RNA, 749 nt
Filed under: uncultured fungus
Lineage: Eukaryota; Fungi
Description: eukaryotic LSU rRNA
Rfam family: 5.8S ribosomal RNA (bases 339-492)
Source: RNAcentral